This 467-nucleotide unclassified non-coding RNA is filed under the name Hevea brasiliensis (rubber tree). The record is from RNAcentral. Lineage: Eukaryota; Viridiplantae; Streptophyta; Magnoliopsida; Malpighiales; Euphorbiaceae.
GGCGUUCUUGUAUCAUGAUUGUGUAAUGUUUCCGGCAGCCAAAUUGAAGCUAUACCCACGACCAAGGAAAACAGUGAUAUGCAUAAGCAAGGCAAGAAGUAGGGAAAUCUCCCAAAUAUAGAAUCCUUUGAGAAUGCAGCCGGAUAUUUCUCUGCAGGCUGAGCAAAGAAGCCUCCUAUAGCUGGGCCAAUAAUCAAUCCAAUACCCCAGGCACUACUAAUCGUUGACAUUCCCAUUGCUUGAUACUCUUCACGAAAAAUUUCUGCAGCAUAUGCCCUUAUUGGUCCCAUCAAACCAUUUAAGAAACCGAGAAGAAAUCGUGUAAUAAACUACAAAAGUGCCAAAAACUAUAACUGGUUUUCGUCCAUAUCGAUCAGCCACUGUUCCCCAUAAGACAGAUGUCAAAGCUCUACAUAACCUGCAUAUGUACUAAUAUCUUCCUCUCUCUUUGCAAUGUGAAAGUCCCU